RNAcentral lists this ribosomal RNA (206 nucleotides) under uncultured bacterium. RNAcentral's name for it is "partial 16S ribosomal RNA". It matches the Rfam family "Bacterial small subunit ribosomal RNA", at positions 568 to 774 of the family's 1533-position model. The record is from RNAcentral.
CGCGUAGGCGGUUGGAUAAGUCAGCUGUGAAAACCACGGGCUUAACUCGUGGCCUGCAGUUGAGACUGUCUGGCUUGAGUGUGGGAGAGGAGAGUGGAAUUCCUGGUGUAGCGGUGAAAUGCGUAGAUAUCAGGAGGAACACCGGUGGCGAAGGCGGCUCUCUGGACCACAACUGACGCUGAGGCGCGAAGCUAGGGGAGCAAACA